CCCCCCAUCUUCAUCAUUAUUGUCAUCUUGGAGCUCAUCCUCUUCAUCAGUCUCUUCCUCAUCGAUCAGCAGGACUCUCUUAUCUUUGCCUAAGUUACAUUUUACAUUAGUAUAUAUGAAGAGUAUAAGAAUAAUAAUAAAUUUUCAUUCACUUGAAUUGAAGAUAGUAAUUGAGGACUUUCUCUCUCAAUUAGCCGCGCCACCUGCCCGGCGUUGACUACGUUGAUAGCAACCAGCCCGGCGUUGCUCGCCGCACGCCGGCCGUCUUCGUUCGCUGCUGCUGUGCUCACCCGUCAGCCCUCUGCUCGGAGUUGGAGAGUGUGAAAAGGUUGACUUUUCCACACGUUUUGAUCCAGCAGCGGUCGAGAUUUCCAUCAGCGGUGCCGUCGCCUCUCUUCUUCUCAGCAGCAGUCGAGAGAUCCGCUCUCUUCUUCUUCAGCAGCAGUCGAGAGAUCCAGCAGCGGUACCCGCCGAUCCGCCUCAUCGCCGGGCAGCAGCGGCUUCUCUAACAGUUGUCGUCGCCUCGCUCCGACGGUGGUUGCAGUCCGGCGUCCACCUCGCACCUCCGACGCACUCCACCGGACCGUGCCACUCUUCGCCGCGCCGAACCCCUUCCCUCAUCAGAUUUCAGCUAAUGGGGGAAAAAGGAGAUGGCGCCGCUCUUUGAGAAUCGAAAAACCUUUCCGAUGGUUUUGACGGAGGAGGUCUCCGGCAACAAGGCUGAACGCUCCAACGCCGAGUUUCCGAUGGUUUCGACGGCAGAGGUCUCCGGCAAUGUUUCUCCACGAACAUCGAGCGCGUCUCCACAGCAGCGUCCCCCGACUGUUCUUUCUCCCCAGAAGUUUCCUCAUCCUGCUGCUCUGCGUGAGGCUGAAGGCUCCAGCGCCGAUUUUCGAGUUGCUGUCCCAAUGGCUUCCGCUUCGACAGCAGACAGAGGAGCCCUCAAUCUCCCCUCGAUUUCUGCAAAUUGUGAACAACAUUUGAAACCCUCGAAUGGGGUUUCUAAGCAAAACUUUCAAGUUAAUCUCAGGAGCACGGUGGAUGUCCCUGCUGCACCUGUUUCUGUGAAUUCGACUGAACAACAGAACGUUUCAUACGCUAGGAUUACUGCCCCUCCAACGGUUCGACAGCCGGAUUUACCAGCGCAUAAUUUUCGUGCCCUCCGUCCGGUUAGGCAUGGUGAUCAGGGUACUCUUGUUAUACCACGUGAUAUUCAGGAUUCUCAAUUGAAAAAGUUUAAGCAUGCUCUUAUAGGCAGACUUUUGUUAAAUAAAGGCGAUAAGCCGAGGCAAUCUCGUGAGUUAAAGGCGGGAUUUCAAACGCUUUGGAAAAUUUCUUCUCCCUGGCACUUGAUGCCGAUGGGAAAGGGUUACUAUACUCUUAGAUUUCAGUCGCAAGAGGAUAAAGCCACUGCCAAGGCAAAUCUUUUAUGGAAUUUAUCUGUUGGAUCGCUACGGUUACGUGAUUGGGUACGUUACUUUAAUCCCUACAAGGAAUCUUCUUCUCUCGCUCAGGUGUGGGUUCGGAUUUAUUAUUUGCCUGUGGAGUUUUGGCAUCCUGAAGUUAUUUCGGGUAUUGGAAGUUGGCUUGGACAGCCGUUGAAAAUUGAUGGAAAUUCUAUGACUGAAGAUGUAGGACAAUUUGUGCGUUUGUUGGUUGAAAUUGAUUUGGCACAGCCUUUGCCGAUGAAGCUUAAUAUUGAUGGAGGGGACAACCAGUUUUCGGUGGAGUUCAGUUAUGAAUAUAUACCUAUUUUUUGUUAUCGAUGCAAGAUCACGGGCCAUUCGAUGGAGAAAUGUCGCAAGGGUGACAAAUCACAGGGAAAGACAACAGAUGAGGUUGAAAAGAGGGACAACGGACCGGAAUGGCACGCUAUCGGGAAGGCGGUGGUUCAAGCUUCGGUGUUGAAUAACACUGAAGCUUUGGAAGCGGUUGAUAAUAAUGAUUCCUCGGAUCAUUUGCAAGUUACAUCUGUUAAAGCUGUUGAGGUGACGUCUGCUCUGACGGAGCGUGCUCAAGGCGAGCAAACCACGGGAGAGCAGAAGUCUGGGAAUUCCUUUUCCCCUUUGGUGACGGCGGAGCAAUCAAGCGAGAUGGCUGACCAUACAGUUUACGGGCCGGAUACGGCUGUUUUGAAGCAGAUUAUUCAGACAGCUAAUAGUGACGAGGAGGUGGACGAGGAUCUUGAGAUGGAGACCCCGUCUGGGAUUAAAGACUCUCCUACUCCAGAUUUUGCAAGUCGUAUUAAUCGGUUAGAGGAGCAGGUUAGCCAGGGAAUGCAAUUACUUGUUGAUCAAGCACCGCCUAAACGACGGGGACGUCCUCCAAAGGGUAUGGAGCGUCCGCGCGUCCCACAACCUUUGGAAGAUAGCAUAAAGAAUCGACUCCGUCAUGCGGAGGAAAUGGGUUAUAAGCCGAGGGAGUUUGUUAUCGAUAAUAGCAGAAAUGCUAGUAUCUGUGUUUUGAAUAAUAUCUCCAAAGGACGUUGGUCGGAUGAAAUGGAGAUGGACGACUUCUGCAACAACAUGGAUCAUUUUUGAGAUUAAGUUUCUGUACGCUGAAGUUUUAGGCUUCUUGCGUUUCCUUUUGUUGUUUUUUUCUUUCUUUUGACGAGCUCACUGUCGAGCCUCGGGCACUUUGCGUCAUUGUGUUUUCACUGGUUUUUCCUUUUUUCUUUUUAAUAAAACUUCAAUUUAAUUGAAGAUAGUAAUUGAAGCUUACCUUUUGAAUUUGUGAUAUUCUUUCUCUUCUUUCUUGUCCUUGAUGAAGAUGAAUCCCCCUCAAUCAUUUGUGUAAUUGCAGCCAUAUUAGUUGGAGGAUUUUCAUUUGCCUCGUUUUCAUUACCAACAUACCAUUCAUCGUCAGAGGCCA
This 2871-nucleotide long non-coding RNA is filed under the name Salvia miltiorrhiza (redroot sage). Its description in RNAcentral is "long non-coding RNA (SMIL_LNC005334)". The record is from RNAcentral. Lineage: Eukaryota; Viridiplantae; Streptophyta; Magnoliopsida; Lamiales; Lamiaceae.